RNAcentral lists this ribosomal RNA (251 nucleotides) under uncultured bacterium. RNAcentral describes it as "partial 16S ribosomal RNA". It matches the Rfam family "Bacterial small subunit ribosomal RNA", at positions 524 to 776 of the family's 1533-position model. The record is from RNAcentral.
UACGGAGGGUGCAAGCGUUAUCCGGAUUCACUGGGUUUAAAGGGUGCGUAGGUGGGUUGGUAAGUCAGUGGUGAAAUCUCCGGGCUUAACCUGGAAACUGCCAUUGAUACUAUCAAUCUUGAAUACCUUGGAGGUGAGCGGAAUAUGUCAUGUAGCGGUGAAAUGCUUAGAUAUGACAUAGAACACCAAUUGCGAAGGCAGCUCACUACACGGUCAUUGACACUGAGCACGAAGCGUGGGAGUCAAACAGG